RNAcentral lists this ribosomal RNA (393 nucleotides) under uncultured bacterium. RNAcentral's name for it is "bacterial SSU rRNA". It matches the Rfam family "Bacterial small subunit ribosomal RNA", at positions 96 to 524 of the family's 1533-position model. The record is from RNAcentral.
UGGCGGACGGGUGAGUAACACGUGAGGAUCUGCCCAUAGGACGGGGAUAACAGAGGGAAACUUCUGCUAAUACCGGAUGAGCCGAGAGGUAAAACAUUUAUGGCCUAUGGAGGAGCUCGCGGCUGAUUAGCUAGUUGGUGGGGUAAGGGCCUACCAAGGCGACGAUCAGUAGCUGGUCUGAGAGGAUGAUCAGCCACACUGGGACUGAGACACGGCCCAGACUCCUACGGGAGGCAGCAGUGGGGAAUUUUCCGCAAUGGGGGCAACCCUGACGGAGCAACGCCGCGUGAGGGAAGAAUGGUUGUGGCCAGUAAACCUCUUUUAAUAGGGAAGAAUUUUGACGGUACCUAUUGAAUAAGCAUCGGCUAACUCCGUGCCAGCAGCCGCGGUAAU